This 330-nucleotide ribosomal RNA is filed under the name uncultured eukaryote. Its description in RNAcentral is "partial 18S ribosomal RNA". It matches the Rfam family "Eukaryotic small subunit ribosomal RNA", at positions 1470 to 1796 of the family's 1831-position model. The record is from RNAcentral.
CCCUUAGAUGUCCGGGGCUGCACGCGCGCUACACUGUAGAAAGCAGCGUGCUCUAAAACCUUUCCUGAAAAGGAUGGGUAACCCCAGCAAAAUUCUACGUGCUUGGGAUAGAGAUUUGCAAUUUUCUCUCUUGAACGAGGAAUUCCCAGUAAGUGCGAGUCAUCAGCUCGCGUUGAUUACGUCCCUGCCCUUUGUACACACCGCCCGUCGCUACUACCGAUUGGGAAAAUUUUAGAGAGUCCUGGACUGAUGAUUGUUCGGCUUCACGGCCUUACUUUCGUCGGGAAAGAAUUCGAUAAUAUUUUUCUAGAGGAAGUAAAAGUCGUAACA